UUCAUCAAGAAGAAACAGCUCAUCGAUGCCAAGUAUCAAGCUUGCAAGAGUGAGAUUAACUGCCAAGACCAGCUUAAUAAGUUUCACGUAUAGUUAUGGGGUUACAAGAAGGAUCUAAAGGAAGAAAAAAGUUAUACUAAGAAGUUAGAGGUUUCUUUAUCCCAGCGCUAAACAUAACUUAUCCAACAGGUUGAGGAGAUUUGAGAGUUGAAGGGUCAAGCGCACCAAAGCCGUGAAGAGAAUGAUCAGCUCCAUCAAGAAGCCAUGCAUUGAGAGAGAAA
Molecule: long non-coding RNA, 281 nt
Filed under: Lathyrus oleraceus (garden pea)
Lineage: Eukaryota; Viridiplantae; Streptophyta; Magnoliopsida; Fabales; Fabaceae
Description: Pisum sativum (pea) long non-coding RNA (PSAT_LNC030628)
Source: RNAcentral